This 253-nucleotide ribosomal RNA is filed under the name uncultured bacterium. RNAcentral's name for it is "partial 16S ribosomal RNA". It matches the Rfam family "Bacterial small subunit ribosomal RNA", at positions 524 to 776 of the family's 1533-position model. The record is from RNAcentral.
UACGUAGGGUGCGAGCGUUAAUCGGAAUUACUGGGCGUAAAGUGUGCGCAGGCGGCUUUGCAAGUCGAGUGUGAAAGCCCCGGGCUUAACUUGGGAAUUGCGCUCGAAACUACGAUGCUGGAGUGUGGCAGAGGAAGGUGGAAUUCCACGUGUAGCGGUGAAAUGCGUAGAGAUGUGGAGGAACACCGAUGGCGAAGGCAGCCUUCUGGGCCAACACUGACGCUCAUGCACGAAAGCGUGGGGAGCAAACAGG